GACGACAGCGCGGAGGUUGUAAGGCUGCGUGAAAAAGUAAGACAAUAGGAGCUACAGCAGUAGUGGUUCCAAGCUCAACUUGCACAACAGAAUGCAAUACUGCAGCAAAUAGCGACCCAACAGAAUAUACAAGUGCCACCACUAGUACCUCCACCUUUUGCACAGGCCGGUUGGCCAUCAGCUUCACCUCAGCCUUUUCACACCCCACCACCUAACUUAGCGGCACCGGGAGACUCACACGUUGAUCCAACAUCGAAUUGGGCGGAUCAAUUCAUUGGAAGUGCCGGAUCAAUUCAACCAGGUGAUGGAGGUGGCCAAACUUAAGUGAAACAUUAUUGUUGUAUGAAUUUGUUCGAUAUGAUACUUGUAUGAAGUUUGUGAACUUUGAUUAUGAACCUGUGAAGUUUAUG
Long non-coding RNA from Panicum hallii, 410 nucleotides. RefSeq lists it as uncharacterized. The transcript has 3 exons. Lineage: Eukaryota; Viridiplantae; Streptophyta; Magnoliopsida; Poales; Poaceae. The record is from RefSeq and is a predicted model, not a curated record.